RNAcentral lists this ribosomal RNA (330 nucleotides) under uncultured eukaryote. Its description in RNAcentral is "partial 18S ribosomal RNA". It matches the Rfam family "Eukaryotic small subunit ribosomal RNA", at positions 1470 to 1796 of the family's 1831-position model. The record is from RNAcentral.
CCCUUAGAUGUUCGGGGCCGCACGCGCGCUACACUGAAGGAAUCAGCACGUCUUUCUCCUUGUCCGAAAGGACUGGGUAACCCGCUGAACCUCCUUCGUGCUAGGGAUUGGGGCUUGUAAUUCUUCCCCAUGAACGAGGAAUUCCCAGUAAGCGCGAGUCAUAAGCUCGCGUUGAUUACGUCCCUGCCCCUUGUACACACCGCCCGUCGCUACUACCGAUUGGAUGGUUUAGUGAGAUCCUCGGAUUGGUCCCGGAGCGGCCUCUGGUCGUGCCGGAGUGCCGAAAAGAAUGUCGAACUUGAUCAUCUAGAGGAAGUAAAAGUCGUAACA